This 253-nucleotide ribosomal RNA is filed under the name uncultured bacterium. RNAcentral's name for it is "partial 16S ribosomal RNA". It matches the Rfam family "Bacterial small subunit ribosomal RNA", at positions 524 to 776 of the family's 1533-position model. The record is from RNAcentral.
UACGGGGGGGGCAAGCGUUGUUCGGAAUUACUGGGCGUAAAGGGCUCGUAGGCGGCCAACUAAGUCAGACGUGAAAUCCCUCGGCUUAACCGGGGAACUGCAUCUGAUACUGGAUGGCUUGAGAUUGGGAGAGGGAUGCGGAAUUCCAGGUGUAGCGGUGAAAUGCGUAGAUAUCUGGAGGAAUACCGGUGGCGAAGGCGGCAUCCUGGACCGGCAUUGACGCUGAUGAGCGAAAGCUAGGGGAGCAAACGGG